Molecule: ribosomal RNA, 768 nt
Filed under: uncultured beta proteobacterium
Lineage: Bacteria; Pseudomonadati; Pseudomonadota; Betaproteobacteria
Description: bacterial SSU rRNA
Rfam family: Bacterial small subunit ribosomal RNA
Source: RNAcentral
AAGUCGAGCGGCAGCGCGGGGCAACCUGGCGGCGAGCGGCGAACGGGUGAGUAAUGCAUCGGAACAUGUCCUGUCGUGGGGGAUAGCCCGGCGAAAGCCGGAUUAAUACCGCAUACGUCCGAGAGGAGAAAGUGGGGGACCGCAAGGCCUCACGCGAUUGGGUUGGCCGAUGUCCGAUUAGCUAGUUGGCGGGGUAAGAGCCCACCAAGGCGAUGAUCGGUAGCUGGUCUGAGAGGAUGAUCAGCCACACUGGGACUGAGACACGGCCCAGACUCCUACGGGAGGCAGCAGUGGGGAAUUUUGGACAAUGGGGGCAACCCUGAUCCAGCCAUUCCGCGUGAGUGAAGAAGGCCUUCGGGUUGUAAAGCUCUUCUGUCCGGAACGAAACGGUGGACGUGAAUAUCGUCCGCUACUGACGGUACCGGAAGAAUAAGCACCGGCUAACUACGUGCCAGCAGCCGCGGUAAUACGUAGGGUGCGAGCGUUAAUCGGAAUUACUGGGCGUAAAGCGUGCGCAGGCGGUUUUGUAAGCCAGAUGUGAAAUCCCCGGGCUCAACCUGGGAAUGGCAUUUGGGACUGCAAGGCUUGAGUGCGGCAGAGGAGACUGGAAUUCCUGGUGUAGCAGUGAAAUGCGUAGAUAUCAGGAGGAAUACCGAUGGCGAAGGCAGGUCUCUGGGCUGACACUGACGCUCAUGCACGAAAGCGUGGGGAGCAAACAGGAUUAGAUACCCUGGUAGUCCACGCCCUAAACGAUGUCGACUGGUUGUU